CGGAGCGUGGCGCAGCCUGGUAGCGCACCUGCUUUGGGAGCAGGAAGUCGAAGGUUCGAAUCCUUUCGCUCCGACCA
This 77-nucleotide transfer RNA is filed under the name Desulfovibrio desulfuricans. RNAcentral's name for it is "tRNA-Pro". It matches the Rfam family "tRNA". Rfam says of the family: Transfer RNA (tRNA) molecules are approximately 80 nucleotides in length. Their secondary structure includes four short double-helical elements and three loops (D, anti-codon, and T loops). RNAcentral also lists the same sequence under 2 other names. Lineage: Bacteria; Pseudomonadati; Thermodesulfobacteriota; Desulfovibrionia; Desulfovibrionales; Desulfovibrionaceae. The record is from RNAcentral.